AUUAGAUACCCGGGUAGUCCCAGCCGUAAACAAUGUGCGUUAGGUGUGUCGGUAACCACGUGUUACUGAUGCGCCGAAGAGAAAUCGUGAAACGCACCACCUGGGAAGUGCGGUCGCAAGGCUGUAACUUAAAGGAAUUGGCGGGGGAGCACCACAACAGGUGGAGCCUGCGGUUUAAUUGGAUUCAACGCCGGACAUCUCACCGGAUAAGACAGCUGAAUGAUUGUCAAUCUGAAGGUUUUACAUGACUAGCUGAGAGGAGGUGCAUGGC
This 271-nucleotide ribosomal RNA is filed under the name uncultured archaeon. RNAcentral describes it as "partial 16S ribosomal RNA". It matches the Rfam family "Archaeal small subunit ribosomal RNA", at positions 728 to 998 of the family's 1478-position model. The record is from RNAcentral.